CACAUUUUUACAGAAUGAUUACUAUGCUAAAUUUCAAUGUCAGUGACAUAAAUGAAAAAAGUUACAAGGUAGCAGGAUUGUAGUGUGAAAGGUUGAAAGACAACGCUGAGAGGACCAGUCCUCGGAUUGCUGUCCCUCAGGAGGGAUUUCACACAUAAUGGUAGGAAAGGGAACACAGCAGGCUUGUGAGUGACUUCAUCACGAUGGACUUCAUACGUGCUGAGGCUAUGAUGAUAAAGGCACUACAGAUACAUACCACUGUGAUUCUAUUCUUGGAGUGUGAGCAUGUUCACUGAAAGAGGGGAAAACAGAGGGGAAGAGGAGGCCAUGUUGUCCUCCAUAAAAACUUACUGUGGGACAGUCUGGUGCCUCCAAGGAACAUGCACCAGCAUUCAGUUUGGGAACCUGGAUCAACCAUUACCUGCAUUGUGAUUGUGACAUCUGUAAUAGUUAUGCUGAAGGUCUCCCACAACAAUUAUUGUCAUCAUCAUCAUCAUAUUUAACAAGAUAAAGAUCAAUUUUUAAAAAUCCCAGUUACUGGUCAGUAGCUACUGAGGCUAUAUCUGGAGAGACCAGCGUUACACACUUACUACCUUCGGAGCAGUACGUGUGUUAGUUCUGUUUAGUUUUUUGUUUUUUUGCACAGAACCAUCAUCUUUAUUUGCUCUUGUUUUCCAAGGCCGUGCUCACUGUUCUUCUCUCUGUUGUGUCCAUUAAUAUGUCUAUGCCUUUUAUCACAAUUCUAACCACAGAGAGAAAUUCAUACCAGAUAUCAAAACAAAAAGUCUGCAGAAAUUACAAACUGAGGUAAAACCCGUGGAGCUGUCGGCUAGGUCCAGUUUCUCAUCACGCCGGUCAUUAGCCUGUGAUGGAUGUAAACCUAUAAAGUAUCUAAACUGAACCUUUUAACAAACCAUGAGCAAUACUAUCAUUUCUUUAAUAGAACUUGCUGACCGUGUCGUUCAGAGGUGCCAUUUGUCAUUUUCUGUGUGAAAUAAUCAAUAAUGCGGCUUUGAAAUAAAUAUAUAAGUCGGAGAACGUUAUAUCUUCUCAUGCUGGGUUGGACAAAGAACAGAAAUAGAUUUAUAAAAUAUACACAAACCUACAGUAUUAGUCUGUCUGUGUAUUAUAUUGUAAUGAGACCCAAAAUGAUGUUGUGGAAAUAUUAUUUUAGAUAAAAAAGACUAAAUGCUAUGAUGGACAUUUAUCACUGAAACACUGAAAUGGAUGCUUCUGUCUUUGCAUUCUUUUAGUUGGAAUUCUUCUAGCUUGUACUCUCGGUUUUGAAAAAUAAAUGAAACAAAAUAAAUGAGAAACACAGCAGUUGACAACAUGUAAAAUGAGCACAGAACAAGGAUAACUAUAAUAAUUCCAAAAUAAAUAUACAUGUUGCUGCAUGCAUGAUUACCACAAUGUUCAUAUUGAUACAUAUGGUUGUAAUACGUGUAUAU
Molecule: long non-coding RNA, 1451 nt
Organism: Anguilla anguilla (European eel)
Lineage: Eukaryota; Metazoa; Chordata; Actinopteri; Anguilliformes; Anguillidae
Exons: 4
Source: RefSeq, a predicted model, not a curated record